Molecule: long non-coding RNA, 971 nt
Organism: Acinonyx jubatus (cheetah)
Lineage: Eukaryota; Metazoa; Chordata; Mammalia; Carnivora; Felidae
Exons: 3
Source: RefSeq, a predicted model, not a curated record
GCUCAACCGACUGAGCCACCCAGGCGCCCCCUUCACUACUAUCUUUAAUGCACAAAUUCUCACUCUGUGUCCAGUCAGUGUAGAGUUGACUUUGUUAGAAGAGUCAGAUGCAGUCAUGUGACAUGCUUUGGCCAAUGGAAUGUGAGUUGAAAUUACCGGCUUCACCACACUGUCUGUCUUCCCUUAUAUCACAGCAAUGACAAAUGAUCCAGAGGGCACUGGCCCAUUAGCCUGGAACCUGGAGUAAGAAUGAUGUAGAACAGAACCCCCUCUGGCCCACCAUGGACUAGAAGCAUUGAAAACAAAGAGAAGGAACUGAAUGAUUUCACCUACCAAGAACAGAGCACAGUAGCCAACUCUUAAUCAGACAAAGGACAGUGGCAGAAUAGGCAGGGCCCCAGGCAAGGCACACCAGUGGAGCACACAGCCUUCUGUACAGCCAGCCUCCCACCACCUCUCCCACCAGGAUUAUUGGUCUUCACAAGCCAUGCUGCACUGCUGGGGUUUGUAUUCCUGUGCAUAAGACAAGGUCCCUGAACUGUACACACAGCAGAUACGUAUCAAUGCCAGGAAGUGUUAUCACCACACACUGCCUGCGUCAUGAGCCAUGAGCAAGGCCAGCUGCUCAUGAGUGGAAUUUUCUAGUUAUCUGAGCUCUCAAAAAUGCAAAGUACUGCUGAGUUCCUUGGAGACUCAAAUUGGAUUUCUCUUGUUUUCUUUUUUCCAAAUUCAGGGAUCAAGUUGGGGUAGCAAUUUGGGUAUUUUGUUCAAGGGCCUAGGAAGUAAACUGAUGUACUUUCUGCAAACCCUCUUCCUGCCUCCAUGCCUACUGUCUCAUACACAUAACAGAUCUUUAGUGAUUCAAUUCUAUACCAUUCACUUAAUAUUUAGUGAGUCUCUCCUAAAAUAAGCUAGUUACUGGAGAUAAGGCAGUAAACCAGACAGAUUUGAUUUGGAUUAGUUGGCUAACA